Molecule: ribosomal RNA, 440 nt
Filed under: uncultured bacterium
Lineage: Bacteria
Description: bacterial SSU rRNA
Rfam family: Bacterial small subunit ribosomal RNA
Source: RNAcentral
CCUACGGGAGGCAGCAGUGGGGAAUAUUGCACAAUGGGCGCAAGCCUGAUGCAGCGACGCCGCGUGAGGGAUGACGGCCUUCGGGUUGUAAACCUCUUUCAGCAGGGACGAAGCGCAAGUGACGGUACCUGUAGAAGAAGGACCGGCCAACUACGUGCCAGCAGCCGCGGUAAUACGUAGGGUCCGAGCGUUGUCCGGAAUUACUGGGCGUAAAGAGCUCGUAGGUGGUUUGUCGCGUUGUUCGUGAAAACUCACAGCUCAACUGUGGGCGUGCGGGCGAUACGGGCAGACUUGAGUACUGCAGGGGAGACUGGAAUUCCUGGUGUAGCGGUGGAAUGCGCAGAUAUCAGGAGGAACACCGGUGGCGAAGGCGGGUCUCUGGGCAGUAACUGACGCUGAGGAGCGAAAGCGUGGGGAGCGAACAGGAUUAGAUACCCUAG